GGGAGUUUAGCUCAGCUGGUUUAGAGCGCAUGCCUUACAAGCAUGAGGUCACUGGUUCGAACCCAGUAACUCCCACCA
This 78-nucleotide transfer RNA is filed under the name Candidatus Colimorpha onthohippi. RNAcentral's name for it is "tRNA-Val". It matches the Rfam family "tRNA". Rfam says of the family: Transfer RNA (tRNA) molecules are approximately 80 nucleotides in length. Their secondary structure includes four short double-helical elements and three loops (D, anti-codon, and T loops). Further hydrogen bonds mediate the characteristic L-shaped molecular structure. tRNAs have two regions of fundamental functional importance: the anti-codon, which is responsible for specific mRNA codon recognition, and the 3' end, to which the tRNAs corresponding amino acid is attached (by aminoacyl-tRNA synthetases). tRNAs cope with the degeneracy of the genetic code in two manners: having more than one tRNA (with a specific anti-codon) for a particular amino acid; and 'wobble' base-pairing, i.e. permitting non-standard base-pairing at the 3rd anti-codon position. The record is from RNAcentral. Lineage: Bacteria; Pseudomonadati; Bacteroidota; Bacteroidia; Bacteroidales.